CGAAGUCCUGGAAUGACUUGAAUCUUACCCUGGUGCGGAUGGGGCAACCCCGCCCAGUUUCUUGCUUCUGGAUAAAGAGCAAGUGGCGAGCCUGAAG
RNAcentral lists this non-coding RNA (97 nucleotides) under unclassified sequences. RNAcentral's name for it is "wcaG RNA". It matches the Rfam family "wcaG RNA". The record is from RNAcentral.